Molecule: ribosomal RNA, 497 nt
Filed under: uncultured bacterium
Lineage: Bacteria
Description: partial 16S ribosomal RNA
Rfam family: Bacterial small subunit ribosomal RNA
Source: RNAcentral
GAUGAACGCUGGCGGCGUGCCUAAUACAUGCGAGUCGAGCGAACAGACGAGGAGCUUGCUCCUCUGACGUUAGCGGCGGACGGGUGAGUAACACGUGGAUAACCUACCUAUAAGACUGGGAUAACUUCGGGAAACCGGAGCUAAUACCGGAUAAUAUAUUGAACCGCAUGGUUCAAUAGUGAAAGACGGUUUUGCUGUCACUUAUAGAUGGAUCCGCGCCGCAUUAGCUAGUUGGUAAGGUAACGGCUUACCAAGGCGACGAUGCGUAGCCGACCUGAGAGGGUGGUCGGCCACACUGGAACUGGGACACGGUCCAGACUCCUACGGGAGGCAGCAGUAGGGAAUCUUCCGCAAUGGGCGAAAGCCUGACGGAGCAACGCCGCGUGAGUUAUGAAGGUCUUCGGAUCGUAAAACUCUGUUAUUAGGGAAGAACAAAUGUGUAAGUAACUAUGCACGUCUUGACGGUACCUAAUCAGAAAGCCACGGCUAACUACGUG